AUCCUCCAGGUUCCUUACCUCUCAGAUCUAAUUAUUAGUCUGAGUGGUUACAAAAGGAGGAAAAGUAAAACUGAAGAGAACUUGGAGUCUUUAAUGACAUAUGAACUCAUUUCAAACAUUA
RNAcentral lists this small nucleolar RNA (121 nucleotides) under Echinops telfairi (small Madagascar hedgehog). RNAcentral describes it as "Small nucleolar RNA SNORA61 (ENSETEG00000024769.1)". The record is from RNAcentral. Lineage: Eukaryota; Metazoa; Chordata; Mammalia; Afrosoricida; Tenrecidae.